RNAcentral lists this ribosomal RNA (1567 nucleotides) under Triticum aestivum (bread wheat). Its description in RNAcentral is "partial small subunit ribosomal RNA". The record is from RNAcentral. Lineage: Eukaryota; Viridiplantae; Streptophyta; Magnoliopsida; Poales; Poaceae.
CCCAUCCAUCCCCUCACUCACCGCCGCCGCUCAUUCCAAAUCCUCCUCGAUUUCCUCAGCCACCCAACCAGCCUCAACGUUCCCGAUCCACUCCACCCGAGCCAGCCCGCAGUACCACCUACCUCGCUCGAUCUGUGCGCUUGCCCAACCGGCGCUGCAGCUCUCCACCUGCUCGAUCCAAGGAAAGGAGAUCCUCUCCCGAAGCCCCUGUCUCUUCUCUCGCCCAUCCCUAACCUCUCUCUCAUGCCCCGUUGCCUCUCCCUCUGUGUACCAGGAACAUCCAUGGUGGCUACAGCUCCCUCGCCGCCGUUUGCACCAGGUCCAACCGGGAGACGGACGGAUCCAUCCUCCCGCGUCCACCCCGCAUCUCGUUCAUCCCAGAGCACUCCUGCUACGCCAAGUCCACAAGAUCCAUAGCUGCAGGGAACGAGGCGCACUCCGCCCCGAUUGCAUGGACCCCGGCCGGAUCGACGCAGUCCGCCGCUGUCCUGCUUCCCUAGCUCGGGCACGAGCGCCCCGUCUUCCUCCUCGUUGCGCGGAUCCAGGAGGAGCCCCCGCCAGCACCGCCGCUCCUCUGCGCCCUCGCUGCACCAAGCCGGCAUGUACGCCGAUGCCUGGAGCUCCAAGUCUGUGGCCGCCGCCUUGCCUCGUCGCCGGAGUCCCGCUCCUCUGCGUCGCGCCUUCAUUGACCCAGCCGAGCGCCUCCUCUGUUGAAUUGCGACCUCGACGCUCUGCUGACCCUGUCGUCUCGCCAAGGCCGGCUUCUGACGCCCGUUCCUCUGCAUCGAGUGAGGCAGUUCCAUCCAGAUCGAUCCUGCACAGUCAACGCAGCGCAGCGCAGCGUCAAGCCCCAACCGCAGGCCCAGCGCGCCUAAGCCGGCCUGCUCGCUAGGCCGCCGCCAGCUUCCCUCGCUGACUGGGCUUGGCCCUCUGUUCCGUUAACGUCGCGUUUGUGAGGAUCCGUUCGACCUCGUCCAUUUGUCUUCUUCAUGGACUCGUUCUUCUUCCUUGCGGGAUCUCAGGUCCACCUCAUACUUUUACCUUACCCAUAAGCUUAAAUAGUCUUGAUCGCGAGGGUGUGAGAUUGCUGAGUCCCCGUGGCUCACAGAUACUUCCAAAACCAGCUUGCAGGUGCCGAUGAGACCGUGCAGAUGACGCAACCAAGCUCAAGGAGGAGUUCGAUGAAGAUCUUGUCCUUUGUGUUGUUUCGUUCUAGUUGAUCAGUAGUGGAGCCCAGUUGGGGUCGAUCGGGGAUCUGUGUAGCUUUUGGGGUAGUCUUCUUUUAUUUUGGCUCCGUAGUCGGGCCUUGAUUGUAACUGGUUGAUGUAAUGCUUUAUUCAUGUAAUUGUGUGAAGUGGUGAUUGUAAGCCAACUAUGUAUCUCUUUUCCCUUAUUUAUUACAUGAGUUGUGUGAAGAUUACCUCACUUGCGACAUUGCUUUCAAUGCGGUUAUGCCUCUAAGUCGUGCUUCGAUACGUGGGAGAUAUAGCCGCAUCGAGGGUGUUUCAAGUUGGUAAUCAGAGCCUUCCCCGACCUUAGGAGCCCCAUUGCUUGAUCGUAUUAGCGG